UCAGUGUGGGUUCAUUUGAAUUAACGGAAGGGAGUUGGCUCAGGCAAGUUUACACAUACAUGUAUAGCAGCGUUGUGGUUUAACUGUGUCUUCCGAUCCAUAUGGGGACAUCUCACCCCCUUAUUAAAAUGGGAUAAAUGUCAUGUAAAGCCCAGGCGAUCUGAAUCCUACGCUUAAAUGAUAUUUCCUUGGUGUUUCAAUCGUGUCCUUCGGACAGGAGUUAUAUUUACGCACACAUAUAUAUAAGUGGAUGUUUUCUCGUAUUUCAGGUGGACAGUUCAAAAAAAUUGGCCAAGGUAUUGACAGGGAACAGCGACGUUGUCAAUGACAACGCCUCUUCCUGUGAUCGAGAUGACGUCGUGCCUUACAGCUGUGUGUUAAUUCAGUACCCCGACAAGGACUUCAGCCCGAGCGACGAGAAAGUCAUCGAACAUUAUAACAAACUGAUGUGUAGCAAUAACUUCCCCACGCCUGUCAUUGAAAUACCAGUUUGACCAUGCCCUGAAAAAUCUCCGGAAAUGCUCCUAAACCAGGAUCCAAACCCCUGAGUGGCAUAACCUGUCUUCUGUUUGGGCUGACCAGUUACGAUCUGACCGACCGUAAGGUCAGCACUGGCCACAGCCACGAGGUCUGCCGGACAACCAAUCAUCCGUGAAAACAGUUCACCUGACAAUAUCGGCCAUGCAUCAAAUCACCGAUCAGCAGUGACCCAGGUCAGAAAACGGCAGUACAGACCGCACAUACCUGCCCGAGAAUUACACAAAAAAAACCAGCCCAAUCGGAUCUGGAAGCUUCGCUGACAUAGAUAAAAGAAGUGUCAUGCUGAAGCAAAAGGUCACGAGGGCGGGCGGACCGAAGACAAAAAAGCCUCCAUUGUCAGGAAAGAUCCAGGCACGUCUGGUCUGAAACAUAUGACGUCAUAUAGAAUGAUGACACGUGCAUGAGAAAAAAUGACGUAACACCUGGUGUUACAUGUACAUGGGGCACAGUUAUUGGCAUGGCAACAAGGUACAUAGUGCUAAUGGUACAGUCUAGCCCAGUUCAUGGCGCGGUGCUUAAUUAACAGCGUCCGAGGCAUAUGUCCAAUUUGGCUUUAAGUGUCAUAACAACGGACAAAAGCAAAUACCACAACCAACAAACAGCACAGACGAACACAACACGCAUGUACACUGGCAUAUACAUUCUCAAUGAGCUUAACAAGCGAGAUUUCUAUCAGUUAUGCCUGUUUUUAUUUGAGUGAAUUAUGCAUUAUUAUUUGUAUAUGUACCUUAUUGUGUUUGCUCAGUAGAUAUUGUCUUUGGGUUUAAUAGCAGUCAUUUAUCGCAAGCUGCGUUUUGCCGAUUUUCAGUCUUGUAAGUUUGCUUUAUUUAGAGUAUACGCU
This is a long non-coding RNA of Liolophura sinensis, 1381 nucleotides long. RefSeq lists it as uncharacterized. The record is from RefSeq and is a predicted model, not a curated record. The transcript is spliced from 3 exons. NCBI's taxonomy places the organism in Eukaryota, Metazoa, Mollusca, Polyplacophora, Chitonida, Chitonidae.